RNAcentral lists this non-coding RNA (28 nucleotides) under Cricetulus griseus (Chinese hamster). The record is from RNAcentral. Lineage: Eukaryota; Metazoa; Chordata; Mammalia; Rodentia; Cricetidae.
UAAGAAUUUCAGCUUUGGGUGCUGACGG